AGGGCGCACGGUGGAUGCCUUGGCACUAGAAGCCGAUGAAGGACGUGACUAACAACGAAAUGCUUUGGGGAGCUGUAAGUGAGCAAUGAUCCAGAGAUGUCCGAAUGGGGGAACCCGGCAGGUAAUGCCUGUCACUCAUUACUGUUAAGGUAAAUGUAGAGGAAGACGCAGUGAACUGAAACAUCUAAGUAGCUGCAGGAAGAGAAAGCAAAAAGCGAUUGCCUUAGUAGCGGCGAGCGAAACGGCAAGAGGGCAAACCGAAGAGUUUACUCUCGGGGUUGUAGGACUGCAACGUGGACUUAAAGAUUAUAGAAGAACUACCUGGGAAGGUAGGCCAAAGGGAGUAAUAGCCUCGUAUUCGAAAUAGUCUUUAUACCUAGCAGUAUCCUGAGUACGGCGAGACACGAGAAAUCUCGUCGGAAUCUGGGAGGACCAUCUCCCAACCCUAAAUACUCUCUAGUGACCGAUAGUGAACCAGUACCGUGAGGGAAAGGUGAAAAGCACCCCGGGAGGGGAGUGAAAUAGAACCUGAAACCGUGUGCCUACAACAAGUUCAAGCCCGUUAAUGGGUGAGAGCGUGCCUUUUGUAGAAUGAACCGGCGAGUUACGAUAUGAUGCGAGGUUAAGUGAAGAAACGGAGCCGUAGGGAAACCGAGUCUUAAUAGGGCGCAUUAGUAUCAUGUCGUAGACCCGAAACCAUGUGACCUACCCAUGAGCAGGUUGAAGGUGAGGUAAAACUCACUGGAGGACCGAACCAGGGCACGUUGAAAAGUGCUUGGAUGACUUGUGGGUAGCGGAGAAAUUCCAAACGAACUUGGAGAUAGCUGGUUCUCUCCGAAAUAGCUUUAGGGCUAGCGUCGAUGUUAAGUCUCUUGGAGGUAGAGCACUGUUUGGGUGAGGGGUCCAUCCCGGAUUACCAAUCUCAGAUAAACUCCGAAUGCCAAUGAGAUAUAAUCGGCAGUCAGACUGCGAGUGCUAAGAUCCGUAGUCGAAAGGGAAACAGCCCAGACCACCAGCUAAGGUCCCAAAAUAUAUGUUAAGUGGAAAAGGAUGUGGGGUUGCACAGACAACUAGGAUGUUAGCUUAGAAGCAGCUAUUCAUUCAAAGAGUGCGUAAUAGCUCACUAGUCGAGUGACCCUGCGCCGAAAAUGUACCGGGGCUAAAACAUAUUACCGAAGCUGUGGAUACCUUUAUAGGUAUGGUAGGAGAGCGUUCUAUGUGCGAAGAAGGUGUACCGUGAGGAGUGCUGGAGCGCAUAGAAGUGAGAAUGCCGGUAUGAGUAGCGAAAGACAGGUGAGAAUCCUGUCCACCGUAAGACUAAGGUUUCCAGGGGAAGGCUCGUCCGCCCUGGGUUAGUCGGGACCUAAGGAGAGACCGAAAGGUGUAUCCGAUGGACAACAGGUUGAUAUUCCUGUACUAGAAUAUAUAGUGAUGGAGGGACGCAGUAGGCUAACUAAACCAGACGAUUGGAAGUGUCUGGCCAAGCAGUGAGGUGUGAUAUGAGUCAAAUGCUUAUAUCUCUAACAUUGAGCUGUGAUGGGGAGCGAAGUUUAGUAGCGAAGUUAGUGAUGUCACACUGCCGAGAAAAGCUUCUAGCGUUAAUUAUACUCUACCCGUACCGCAAACCGACACAGGUAGUCGAGGCGAGUAGCCUCAGGUGAGCGAGAGAACUCUCGUUAAGGAACUCGGCAAAAUGGCCCCGUAACUUCGGGAGAAGGGGCGCUGACUGAUGGUCAGCCGCAGUGAAUAGGCCCAAGCAACUGUUUAUCAAAAACACAGCUCUCUGCUAAAUCGUAAGAUGAUGUAUAGGGGGUGACGCCUGCCCGGUGCUGGAAGGUUAAGAGGAGUGCUUAGCGUAAGCGAAGGUAUGAAUUGAAGCCCCAGUAAACGGCGGCCGUAACUAUAACGGUCCUAAGGUAGCGAAAUUCCUUGUCGGGUAAGUUCCGACCCGCACGAAAGGCGUAAUGAUUUGGGCACUGUCUCAACGAGAGACUCGGUGAAAUUUUAGUACCUGUGAAGAUGCAGGUUACCCGCGACAGGACGGAAAGACCCCAUGGAGCUUUACUGCAGUUUGAUAUUGAGUAUCUGUACCACAUGUACAGGAUAGGUAGGAGCCUAUGACCUCGGGACGCCAGUUUCGAGUGAGGCGUUGUUGGGAUACUACCCUUGUGUUAUGGCUACUCUAACCCAGAUAGGUUAUCCCUAUCGGAGACAGUGUCUGACGGGCAGUUUGACUGGGGCGGUCGCCUCCUAAAAGGUAACGGAGGCGCCCAAAGGUUCCCUCAGAAUGGUUGGAAAUCAUUCGCAGAGUGUAAAGGUAUAAGGGAGCUUGACUGCGAGAGCUACAACUCGAGCAGGGACGAAAGUCGGGCUUAGUGAUCCGGUGGUUCCGUAUGGAAGGGCCAUCGCUCAACGGAUAAAAGCUACCCUGG
Molecule: ribosomal RNA, 2432 nt
Filed under: Streptococcus vestibularis F0396
Lineage: Bacteria; Bacillati; Bacillota; Bacilli; Lactobacillales; Streptococcaceae
Description: bacterial LSU rRNA
Rfam family: Bacterial large subunit ribosomal RNA
Source: RNAcentral